GCCGAAGUGGCGGAACUGGCAGACGCGCUAGCUUCAGGAGCUAGUGGGGUUACCCCCAUGGAGGUUCGAGUCCUCUCUUCGGCACCA
This 87-nucleotide transfer RNA is filed under the name Planctomycetota bacterium. RNAcentral describes it as "tRNA-Leu". It matches the Rfam family "tRNA". From Rfam's summary of the family: Transfer RNA (tRNA) molecules are approximately 80 nucleotides in length. Their secondary structure includes four short double-helical elements and three loops (D, anti-codon, and T loops). Lineage: Bacteria; Pseudomonadati; Planctomycetota. The record is from RNAcentral.